Penaeus chinensis is the source of this 406-nucleotide long non-coding RNA. RefSeq lists it as uncharacterized. The record is from RefSeq and is a predicted model, not a curated record. The transcript has 2 exons. NCBI's taxonomy places the organism in Eukaryota, Metazoa, Arthropoda, Malacostraca, Decapoda, Penaeidae.
AGGAAGGUGAUGGUUUUGAUGGAGAGUGUUGUCAGUGGAUACAAGUUUACCCGGAUAAGACCUAGAUUGGCAGAAAAAGUUGAAGUGAUCACCUUUGACCCCUAUAAAAAAAAGUUAUAAAUCCUCUUUUGUGGUGAUCAUAUUCUUUUCUCUUUUGCCUGGCUAGGUACAAUGAAGUACAGUAGAUUUCAAUGUAUUGUGAAGAUAUUUUAGAAAAAUUUGUUUGUUUGAUAGGGGAGGAUACAAGUAGGAUAGAUUUUUGCUGUGAUUUAUGGCUUCUGGUAAUUCUUUUAUAGUGAAUUGAAUUACUAUAUUUGUAAGCCUAAAGAUAAUGGUGAAGAUGGAUAUAGUAAUUGGGAAAUGCUUUUUUCUUUUUUUUACAGUACAACAAGACAGUGUUUUCAAA